This 485-nucleotide ribosomal RNA is filed under the name uncultured bacterium. Its description in RNAcentral is "bacterial SSU rRNA". It matches the Rfam family "Bacterial small subunit ribosomal RNA", at positions 9 to 483 of the family's 1533-position model. The record is from RNAcentral.
GAGUUUGAUCCUGGCUCAGAUUGAACGCUGGCGGCAGGCCUAACACAUGCAAGUCGAACGGUAACAGGAAGAAGCUUGCUUCUUUGCUGACGAGUGGCGGACGGGUGAGUAAUGUCUGGGAAACUGCCUGAUGGAGGGGGAUAACUACUGGAAACGGUAGCUAAUACCGCAUAACGUCGCAAGACCAAAGAGGGGGACCUUCGGGCCUCUUGCCAUCGGAUGUGCCCAGAUGGGAUUAGCUAGUAGGUGGGGUAACGGCUCACCUAGGCGACGAUCCCUAGCUGGUCUGAGAGGAUGACCAGCCACACUGGAACUGAGACACGGUCCAGACUCCUACGGGAGGCAGCAGUGGGGAAUAUUGCACAAUGGGCGCAAGCCUGAUGCAGCCAUGCCGCGUGUAUGAAGAAGGCCUUCGGGUUGUAAAGUACUUUCAGCGGGGAGGAAGGGAGUAAAGUUAAUACCUUUGCUCAUUGACGUUACCCGCA